GGCACCAGCCCUCACACAGAGGCGUGCUACAGACAUGUGCUUUGAACAUGACAGGUUUUUGUACAGCCAUGUGUCACUGUGGAAUGUCUUCGGAGGAGGAACCCAGCUGACCGUCCUUGGGCAGCCAAAGGCAUCUCCUACCGUGCACCUCUUCCCUCCAUCCUCGGAGGAGCUGCAAACCAAGAACAAAGCCACCCUGGUGUGUCUGCUGGGCAGCUUCUACCCCGGCUCCGUCCAAGUGACCUGGAAAGCUGAUGGCAAGCAGAUCUCCACGGGAGUGGAGACCACCAAGCCUUCCAAGCAGAGCGACAACAAGUACAUGGCCAGCAGUUACCUGUCUCUGGAUGCAUCCAAGUGGACGUCCCAUGAUACCUACACCUGUCAGGUGACACACGAUGGCAAGACCCUGGAGAGGUCCCUGAAGCGAUCGGAGUGUUCGUAACCCUCUGACCCUAGGGGGCGCAGCCGGUGCCCACGUCAGCCCGUCGGGGGCUCCCAGAGGAGACGGGAUCUCCUAGCGUGGCCAUGAUGCUGAUUUCCAGCAAGUCUCCUUCCUCUUCUGGGGGGUGGGAUUAUGUUGAUCCACUCGACACCUGUCUUUGUUCCCAGUUCCCCUCUGCUCCCACCCCCGGCAAUCCCUGGCCAGUCCCCCCUGCUGUAGUCUCCCAUG
Pelodiscus sinensis (Chinese soft-shelled turtle) is the source of this 670-nucleotide non-coding RNA. NCBI's taxonomy places the organism in Eukaryota, Metazoa, Chordata, Testudines, Trionychidae. The record is from the annotation of a RefSeq genome assembly.